GUCGGGAAACGCGGAGGAGCCGGGGAAGAGGGGGCCGCUGGGCGCACGUCAGCUUUUAUUAAAACACCGGUAGGCUGCAGCACUUGGGAGCCUGGAGUCGGAGGACUGCAGUGAGUUCGAGGCCAGCCUGAGACUGCAUACUGAAUUCCAGGACCCACGCAAGCCAGAUGCACAAGACGGC
Molecule: long non-coding RNA, 181 nt
Organism: Jaculus jaculus (lesser Egyptian jerboa)
Lineage: Eukaryota; Metazoa; Chordata; Mammalia; Rodentia; Dipodidae
Exons: 3
Source: RefSeq, a predicted model, not a curated record